RNAcentral lists this ribosomal RNA (838 nucleotides) under Clostridioides difficile. RNAcentral describes it as "bacterial LSU rRNA". It matches the Rfam family "Bacterial large subunit ribosomal RNA", at positions 747 to 1589 of the family's 2925-position model. Lineage: Bacteria; Bacillati; Bacillota; Clostridia; Peptostreptococcales; Peptostreptococcaceae. The record is from RNAcentral.
GAAGCGAAAGUAAAAUUUCGUGGAGGUCCGAACCCACGAGCGUUGAAAAGCUCGGGGAUGACUUGUGGGUAGCGGUGAAAUUCCAAUCGAGCCCGGAGAUAGCUGGUUCUCCCCGAAAUAGCUUUAGGGCUAGCCUCAAGGUGAGAGAUACGGAGGUAGAGCACUGAAUGUCCUAGGGGGUAUUGCACCUACCGAAGACUAUCAAACUCCGAAUGCCGUCAUCUUAUACUUGGGAGUCAGACUGUGGGUGAUAAGAUUCAUAGUCGAAAGGGCAACAGCCCAGAUCGUCAGCUAAGGUCCCUAAAUGUAAGUUAAGUGGUAAAGGAUGUGGGAUUGCACAGACAACCAGGAUGUUGGCUUAGAAGCAGCCACUCAUUCAAAGAGUGCGUAAUAGCUCACUGGUCGAGUGAUCCUGCGCCGAAGAUUUCCGGGGCUAAAACUUACUACCGAAGCUACGGCAUCAGUAAUGAUGGGUAGGGGAGCUUCCCAUACGGGUUGAAGCAUGACCGUAAGGACAUGUGGACAGUAUGGGAGUGAGAAUGUUGGCAUGAGUAGCGAGAUGUGGGUGAGAAUCCCACAGGCCGUAAACCCAAGGUUUCCAGGGGAAGGUUCGUCCGCCCUGGGUUAGUCGGGACCUAAGCUGAGGCCGAAAGGCGUAGGUGAUGGACAACAGGUUGAUAUUCCUGUACUACCGAUAACCGUUUGAGAGAAGGGAUGACACAGUAGGAUAAGCUAAGCACACUGUUGGUUAUGUGUGCCCAAGCAUUGAGGCAGUCAAAGUAGGCAAAUCCGCUUUGAUAAUGCUGGGAUGUGAUGGGGAGCGAAAUUUAGUAGCGAA